AAAUUAAAUAUUCUUUUGGAUAUAAAUUUCAACAGUGAGAUAGCUGCCUAGUGGAAAUGAAUAAUAUCCCAGCCACUAGUGUACAGGGUGUUUUGUGGCACAGGAUUAUGUAAUAUGGAACUGCUCAAGCAAAUAACUAGUCAUCACAACAGCAGUUCUUUGUAAUAACUGAAAAAGAAUAUUGUUUCUCGGAGAAGGAUGUCAAAAGAUCGGCCCAGCUCAGGGAGCAGUUUGCCCUACUAGCUCCUCGGACAGCUGUAAGAAGAGUCUCUGGCUCUUUAGAAUACUGAUCCCAUUGAAGAUACCACGCUGCAUGUGUCCUUAGUAGUCAUGUCUCCUUAGGCUCCUCUUGGACAUUCUGAGCAUGUGAGACCUGAGGACUGCAAACAGCUAUAAGAGGCUCCAAAUUCAUCAUAUCUUUCCCUUUGAGAAUCUGGCCAAGCUCCAGCUAAUCUACUUGGAUGGGUUGCCAGCUAUCUGGAGAAAAAGGUGGAGAUGGGGCAUGAGGAUCCUCCAGGGGAAAAGCUCACUACCACUGGGCAACAACCCUAGGUCAGGAGGUUCUGUCAAGAUACUUUCCUGGUCCCAGAUAGGAAGAUAAAGUCUCAAAAACAACCACCACACGUCAAGCUCUUCAUUGUUCCUACCUGCCAAAUCAUUAUACUUCCUACAAGCAGUGCAGAGAGCUGAGUCUUCAGCAGGUCCAAGAAAUUUGAACACACUGAAGGAAGUCAGCCUUCCCACCUGAAGAUCAACAUGCCUGGCACUCUAGCA
This 774-nucleotide long non-coding RNA is filed under the name Pan troglodytes (chimpanzee). Its description in RNAcentral is "lincRNA". The record is from RNAcentral. Lineage: Eukaryota; Metazoa; Chordata; Mammalia; Primates; Hominidae.